This 636-nucleotide ribosomal RNA is filed under the name uncultured bacterium. RNAcentral's name for it is "bacterial SSU rRNA". It matches the Rfam family "Bacterial small subunit ribosomal RNA", at positions 8 to 660 of the family's 1533-position model. The record is from RNAcentral.
AGAGUUUGAUCAUGGCUCAGAAUCAACGCUGGCGGCGUGCCUAACACAUGCAAGUCGAACGCGAAAGCCCGCAAGGGUAAGUAGAGUGGCGCACGGGUGAGUAACACGUGGACAACCUGCCUUCGAGUGGGGAAUAACCUUCCGAAAGGAGGGCUAAUACCGCAUAACACCUCGGAACACAAGUUCUGGGGUUGAAAAGAGCAAUUUGCUCGAAGAGGGGUCCGCGCCUGAUUAGCUAGUUGGUGAGGUAACGGCUCACCAAGGCUUCGAUCUGUAGCCGUCCUGAGAGGGAGCACGGCCACACUGGAACUGAGACACGGUCCAGACUCCUACGGGAGGCAGCAGUGGGGAAUUUUUGGCAAUGGGCGAAAGCCUGACCAAGCAACGCCGCGUGGGUGAUGAAGUAUCUUGGUACGUAAAACCCUUUCGGCAGGGACGAACCUAAUGACGGUACCUGCGGAAGAAGCCCCGGCUAACUCCGUGCCAGCAGCCGCGGUAAUACGGGGGGGGCAAGCGUUGUUCGGAAUUACUGGGCGUAAAGGGCGCGUAGGCGGUUGGAUAAGUCAGCUGUGAAAACCACGGGCUUAACUCGUGGCCUGCAGUUGAAACUGUCUGGCUUGAGUGUGGGAGAGGAGA